RNAcentral lists this ribosomal RNA (528 nucleotides) under uncultured Acidobacteriota bacterium. RNAcentral describes it as "bacterial SSU rRNA". It matches the Rfam family "Bacterial small subunit ribosomal RNA", at positions 38 to 568 of the family's 1533-position model. The record is from RNAcentral. Lineage: Bacteria; Pseudomonadati; Acidobacteriota.
GGCGGCGCGCUUAACACAUGCAAGUCGAGUGCGCGCCUGUAGCAAUACAGGUGGCGCACGGCGCACGGGUGCGUAACACGUGGGUAAUCUGCCCUUCGAUGGGGAAUAACUCGCCGAAAGGCGAGCUAAUUCCGCAUAACAUUCCGAGAACUUUGGUUUUUGGAUUCAAAGGCGUAAGUCGUCGGAGGAGGAGCCCGCGCACGAUUAGCUAGUUGGUGAGGUAAUGGCUCACCAAGGCUAUGAUCGUUAGCUGGUCUGAGAGGAUGGCCAGCCACACUGGAACUGAGACACGGUCCAGACUCCUACGGGAGGCAGCAGUGGGGAAUCUUGCACAAUGGGCGAAAGCCUGAUGCAGCGACGCCGCGUGGGGGAUGAAGCUUUUCGGAGUGUAAACCCCUUUCGACCCGGACGAAUGCCUCGCAAGAGGACUGACGGUACGGGUAUAAGAAGCCCCGGCUAACUACGUGCCAGCAGCCGCGGUAAGACGUAGGGGGCCAGCGUUGCUCGGAAUUACUGGGUGUAAAGGGU